GGCGUUCGAAUUGUAGUCUGGAGAAGCGUC
Molecule: small nuclear RNA, 30 nt
Filed under: Arabidopsis thaliana (thale cress)
Lineage: Eukaryota; Viridiplantae; Streptophyta; Magnoliopsida; Brassicales; Brassicaceae
Description: snRNA_06106
Source: RNAcentral